GUGUGUGUGCCCGCACGUGUGUGCUGGGGAAAGAGGGUGUCGGUUCAAAAAAGAAAAGGAGAAGCUCAGGGCAGUGAAUCACUUUUUGCCCAGGAAAGCCAACCCGGGAAGUGAAGGAUGGAGAAGUGGCCACAAGCUUCACUACUCAUCUUUUGGCUUCAACUGAGCUGGGUGAGCAGUGAUGACAAGGUGAUACAGAGCCCCCCAUCUCUGGUUGUCCAUGAGGGAACCAGUGCAACUCUCAACUGCAGCUACAAAGUGACUAACUUCCAAAGCCUGAAUUGGUAUAAGCAGGAAGAAAAAGGUCUCGCAUUUCUGUUUGUGCUAAUUUCAACUGGGACUGAGAAGAAGUCAGGAAGAUUCAAAGGCACAUUAGACAAGAAAGAACUUCUCGGGACUCUGCACAUCACAGCCACCGAGCCCGAAGACUCAGCCACCUACCUCUGUGCAGUGGAAGCACUGUGCUCACUAGUCACCUGCAGCCUGUACCCAAAUGCUGCAGCUGAGGCUCCUGCAACUGUUAGAUGGGUUACUUGCUAA
Molecule: non-coding RNA, 540 nt
Organism: Vicugna pacos (alpaca)
Lineage: Eukaryota; Metazoa; Chordata; Mammalia; Artiodactyla; Camelidae
Source: the annotation of a RefSeq genome assembly